Molecule: ribosomal RNA, 495 nt
Filed under: uncultured Bacillota bacterium
Lineage: Bacteria; Bacillati; Bacillota
Description: bacterial SSU rRNA
Rfam family: Bacterial small subunit ribosomal RNA
Source: RNAcentral
GACGAACGCUGGCGGCGUGCCUAAUACAUGCAAGUCGAGCGAACCAAUUGAAAGCCUAGCCUUCAUGAGGUUAGCGGCGGACGGGUGAGUAACACGUGGGUAACCUGCCCUAUAGACUGGGAUAACUCGCGGAAACGCGUGCUAAUACCGGAUAAUACAUGAAAGUGCAUGCUUUGAUGUUGAAAGAUGGUUCUGCUAUCACUAUAGGAUGGGCCCGCGGCGCAUUAGCUUGUUGGUGGGGUAACGGCCUACCAAGGCGACGAUGCGUAGCCGACCUGAGAGGGUGAUCGGCCACACUGGGACUGAGACACGGCCCAGACUCCUACGGGAGGCAGCAGUAGGGAAUCUUCCACAAUGGGCGAAAGCCUGAUGGAGCAACGCCGCGUGAGCGAAGAAGGUCUUCGGAUCGUAAAGCUCUGUUGUAAGGGAAGAACAAGUGCAGUAGUAACUGGCUGCACCUUGACGGUACCUUACUAGAAAGCCACGGCUAACUAC